Molecule: long non-coding RNA, 2605 nt
Filed under: Homo sapiens (human)
Lineage: Eukaryota; Metazoa; Chordata; Mammalia; Primates; Hominidae
Description: PCBP1 antisense RNA 1
Source: RNAcentral
GGGGCGGCGAGGCGAGGCCUGCGGAGCGGAGGAAGACAAACAUAAAGAUGAAGUGCUUAAUUCAAGGUCACACAAUGUCGGGGAUGGACCUCCAGAUUUCCUUACUGGAAAACAAGCUCAGGGCUCCCACUGAUUGUACAUUAUGAGACGGAGUCUUGCUAUGUUGCCCAGGCUGGUCUUGAACUCCUCACCUCAAGCGAUCCUCCCGUCUUGGCCUCCCAAGUGUCAGGAUUACGGGCAUGUGCUAUCACACCCAACCUGAUACAUUGCCUUUAUAAAUUUUUUUUUCUUUAUUCUAAAAACCAGAAAAAACAAAACUGGAUACAUGUGCAGAACAUGCAGGUUUGUUACAUAGCUGUACGUGUGCCAUGGUGGUUUGCUGCACCUAUUGACCUAUCCUACCAAGUGUGUUGGGGACUUGAGAUGCGUACAUGAGUGUGAUGUUUCCUGCUGAAAGCACAGGUGAGACGUGGUCUUGUAACACAGUGGUUAAGAAUGUGACUUUGGAGCCAGCCUGCUAGGGGCUGAAUUCUGACUCAGCCAUUUACUAACUGUGUGACCUUAGGGAGGAGGACCUGGUUGAUAGAAGAAUUUAUCUCGUAGUCUUAACAUCCACUGUAAUUCCAAACUUUGAGGACGAUAGAGAUCAGUGGGCUUUGACUGCCCAGCAUGCAGUCUCCAUUCUUAGGUGGGUUCCCAAGCCUGUAAAAUGUAAGCCUUAUGCUGCUGAGGGCCAUCUUGCCACCCUGAGGGAAACGCUGCCUGAGAAUGAAACAAGCAUAAGUAAAAGCUGAGCUGUGAGAUGGAGCAAGAUGAAGGCCACAUGACAUCUUUGGAGCACCUGGAUCUAACUGUGCCUUAAGCUAGUCUAACCCUGAACAUUUCAUCAUUUCAUUGACAUGAGCCCAGGUUUUCUUUUUUUUUGGAUGGAGUCUUGCUCUGUCGCCCAGGCUGGAGUGCAGUAGCUCAAUCUCGGCUCACUGCAAGCUCCACCUCCCGGGUUCACGCCAUUCUCCUGCCUUAGCCUCCCAAGUAGCUGGGACAACAGGCGCCCACCACCACUCCCAGCUAAUUUUUUGUAUUUUUAGUAGAGACGGGGUUUUACCAUGUUAGCCGGGAUGGUCUUGAUCUCCUGACCUCAUGAUCCGCCCGCCUCGGCCUCCCAAAGUGCUGGGAUUACAGGUGUGAGCCACUGCACCCAGCCCUCAGGUUUUCCCUUUUUUUACCCCUCCUUUUGAAAAUUUGAUGUGGAAUUUUGCCACCUGCAGCCAGAAGAGUUUUAACUAAUCAGUGCCAUAAAUUUUAUAUAGUUCUCCUUGCAAAAUGUGGAUCAGCCUUUCUCAGCAAAUCCUUUGUCAUAAAGUGCUGAAUUGUAAGUUUGUCAUGAGAAUCACAUGAGAUCAUGCAUGUGAAGAACCUGGCAUUAUCCUCCUCAUAGAAAAAAACCAGUAAAUAUUAACUACAGGAAGCAAGGAAGGAGUGGGGUGAGGGGAAGAAGAAGGGGUACUGAUUUAAAAGAACCCUGGAGUCCUAAGGAUAAUCUAGGAACCCUCAGACCCAAUCCGAUACCCCUAUUCUAAAUGCUCCUAGUGCCCUGUACCUUCCCCUCAUAAGCCUUCAUUAUCAUUGUAAUGAUAUGUUUAUGUAAUAUUUUGAUUAAUGUCUCUCCUUCACUGACCUAGCAGUUCUAGCAGGGCAGUGAUUUUGCUGUGUUGCAUCCCCAGCACCUAGUCUGGUAUGUGGCAUUCAGCAUAUGUUUAUUGAAUGAAUGGCCAUGUGGUUAUUCAGAUCCUCCUUGAUUAUUGGGGUUAGGAUUGUGGCAGAAGUGGCAAAAUCAGGGAGAGUAGUCCCUGUCCCCUCUGUAUCUUAUACACUGCCCACACUCCCAACACACAUACACAUACAGAGAAUUUUGUCUCAAUUAGAUAAUUAACUUCUGCUUGGUUGUAAACCAAACCACUGGUUCUUAAACUUUCAUUGGAUCAUUUUAUUGAAGAAUUAAAUAGUGUGGUUCUGGCCUAAUGUCUGGAAAGCCUUGCAGAGGAGUGGAUUAGGUCUUUGUGAUAAACAGGCAGCCUUCCCUGCUCCUGUGUCUUUAUAAAAUCUAUUUAACUGGAGUAGUCCACCCUCCCUCAGGCUCUUACAGGAAUAUGUUGGAGGCUGUAGGAAGGUGGGAAACCGAGAGGGAAAGGACUGGGCCGCUGGAGACUUCACUCAUUCCCUAGCAAGAAACAAAAGCAGUAAAAGGUGGCCCGAGGACAACCUGAAGCUCACUCCUUCAGCACUUUUGGCUGGAGGUCACUUGUUGGAGCCCCACUCAGAGCUCAGCACACCACCCCACCAGCAGCCUCCUCCUCCCAGCUGAGGCUGCAUUUCAUCCCUUCCCCCAGCCUGCUUUCCCUGAGAUAGGGGAGUGUUUCCCAGGGCCCAUGUGACUUCCACUGGCAAGUGACGAUUACCAAUGGUUUACUAGUCAGUGAAACUACCAAAGGCUUUUGUGCUGUAGUAAUCCUUUUCCUGUUUAAAACUCUGGGGAUUUUCUAAUGUUGCCAAUAGUUUUUCAAGUCAGCAAUUACUGUGUGGAUUAUGUAAUGGCUCGGUAUUA